ACGGAUAUCUUGGCUCCUGCAACGAUGAAGAACGCAGCGAAAUGCGAUACCUAGUGUGAAUUGCAGAAUUCCGCGAAUCAUCGAGUUUUUGAACGCAAGUUGCACCCGAGGCUCAUACCGAGGGCAUGUCUGUCUGAGCGUCCA
RNAcentral lists this ribosomal RNA (144 nucleotides) under Frullania inflata. RNAcentral describes it as "partial 5.8S ribosomal RNA". It matches the Rfam family "5.8S ribosomal RNA". Rfam says of the family: 5.8S ribosomal RNA (5.8S rRNA) is a component of the large subunit of the eukaryotic ribosome. The record is from RNAcentral. Lineage: Eukaryota; Viridiplantae; Streptophyta; Jungermanniopsida; Porellales; Frullaniaceae.